CACACAUGAUUGAAGGUGUAUCCAUUCAUUGUAGUCUGUCAAGUGUAGUUCUAGCAGUAAAGUAGAAGCUGAAAAAUAACUUGAACACCCGGCCAUGUUUACCUCCACUGCCCCACUGGUUGAACCGUCCAGUUGUAAUGCAGGAGAGCAGUUUUUUUUGUUGCCGAUGUUAUUUCCCUACUCGCAUGCUCUUUGCUUUGUCACUUAGAAAUUGCAGUGGUAACUUAGUUAAAGAAGACUUGAAUUCGUUAGCACUGACAGAUGAUCAUAUUAUCACUUACAAAAUGUCCGGCAUGCUGCAAUUAAGCGUUUUCCAUAUAUCUGAUAUUUAAUAACUUCUAACAUGAUUUUGUGUGUUAUUCAUCUUUUCUGAUACCAAAACUAUCACAUACCUGAUAUUUUAUAUGCUUAUAGGCUUGCAGCAGUUUCCGCUCUCAGGGUUUUAUUCCUCCAUGUUCUUCUCUUUGUGUGCACCCCUCCCGCAGCUCCAUGUUUUUUGCCUGACCAUUUGGGAUCAGAAUUUAGCCACUUCAAACCUUCUGCAUCCCUUUUUUCGUGUGAUUAAUUAGUGCUGCGCAAGAUUUAACAAAGCAUUCUUGCUGACAAUCAAUCCUCUAUUGCAUUCACUCACAUAUUUGCAAUCAAACGAGUAUAUAUGCUUAUGAUGAUGUUGGAGCCUAAGGAUAUCAUGUUUGAUAGUGACGACGAUGAUGUCAGGUCCUACAUUGAUAUUCUCUUAGUGCUGCAUUUAUACUUAAGCCGCCAUUCGGUAGCAGCAAUUGUUAAUUCGAAAUAGUGUUAGAUAUAUUUUUUCACAGAAGUUCAUAUGUGGAGCCAACAUUUGUGCAAUCUACAUGUUAAUAUGGGCGCAGCUCCUAACGCAAGGCUUAGAGUUUUGAUGUGUUUACCUUCAUUCUCUGCGUCGGUGGCGGCGUGGGCACUCUGCAGCAACGCCCACGGAGGAUGGCAGCAUUGAGGGCCGCCCGUGGGGAGAAGACGAGGAAGAGGAUAAUGCAGUGGGGCAGACGAAAAUGAGUUUGCUCGAUGGAUUUGAUCCGAUGGUCGCGUGCCCGGACGACGCAAUGCAUGCGAUCCGCCGGAUGAUUAGCAGUGUUUUCCAUAUAUUUAUUGGCUAUGUUGACAGGGUAGCUUUUGCUCAUAUGGUGUCAACAUAGCACUGCCUUGAAUUGGAUUUCUUUCAUAGUCCCUGUCUGGUGCAUUGUACAUGUAUUUUUUUUUCAUUUUCGCAUUAAUUGAGUUGUUGCUUUGAAAUUUCUUGAGAUUCUUUGUUCCAAAAGAGGGCCCUUAUGUUAAGGCCAGUUUGCAGAUCGCCUUUUCUUUGCUCACAUUGUGCCAUGAUUUGUCUCCUUACUCCUCUUGCUUGUUCCAUUUUUUGCAUUCUGCAUUUCUCCAGCUUCCCUGAUGAUUCGGAGUCUCAUACUCAUGAUUCAGGGAGAUGGAAGCAUCGACAAUGCUCUAGCAUGUCCUUUACUGAACUGAUGACGUAUCAACGACAUCAAUAUUCAGAGACUUUAAUAUUGCCAGUUCAGAAAGCAUAUCCUUGAGCAAACUGGAGAAAAGAACCUGAGCUUGAGAGGGAAACACCACCAUCUCGAAAGCUGCCGAAGACCACAGGUUUUGGGAACCACAAGUCAAACAAGCGGAGGAAGCUCCAUUAUAACCUUCUCAGACAAGGGAAAUCGAAAUGGGCUGCAAGUUAGGCUAGACCUAGCUCCUAUACUUCAUUAUGUACUAUGUAUCUGAUCUGAUCUGUUCGUUGUUCCCUAGAUUAUUUUUGUAGUACCAUGUAGCCAAGUUGAACCUGUAGUGCUAUAUCUGUUGUUUAACUUAGUGAGAGGCCUAUUUCUGCAUUUCAUAUCUUGCUCUGGGAGGUUUUUCUUUUUGCACUUCUUUUCUUCUUUUUGGUGGUGCUUUUUCUACAUUAUUAUUACUUUGCUGGAAGUUGUAAGAUUCUGCAACUACCGUGAGCAUUACACAUUUGUUAAUCUGUUUUGAUAUGUCGUGCA
Long non-coding RNA from Lolium perenne, 2027 nucleotides. RefSeq lists it as uncharacterized. NCBI's taxonomy places the organism in Eukaryota, Viridiplantae, Streptophyta, Magnoliopsida, Poales, Poaceae. The record is from RefSeq and is a predicted model, not a curated record.